CCAUGUUUUUGAUGGAAAUUCAGAAAUAUAAAUGUACUAGGAAAGGGAGGUAAUUCAACAAUAGCUUUAAAAGAAAUUAAAAUACUUUUUGAUGGUGAGUAAUUUUUAUUGAACAACAGUUAUUUAGAUAAUUUAAAGUUAUGGCAUGAUUGUAACUGUUUUGCACUAAUUUGAGUAUACAUUGAGCCAUUUAUUCUAGAAUUUACAAUUUAUCUCUUUUUUUUGUAUUGAUAUUUCCCUAAGCUGUUAAAAGGGACAUUUCAUUUCAUAGACAUUGAAGCGAAGAGCCAACUGAAAGGACAAAUUUAUCUGUGAAUAAUGUGUUUAAUCUUUUUAAUCUGAGAAUUUAAAAUUUGUCAAUACACUUCUUUUUGUUAAGUUAGAAACUUUUGAUAUCAAUACCAGUAGUUAUUUUCCUUUAAAAAUCUGUAAAAUUAACUGUAUAUAACUUUCAAUUCAUCAUGCUGGGUAUGGACAACAGCUAUUUUGAUCAGUUAGGACCCAGUCUACAAUAUACAAAGGGAAACAACUUAUGUUAAAAGUUUGUAAUAUCAGAAUCAAAUUGGUAAUUGGCCUCGUUACUGUAAAGAUUAGAUUUUUUUUUCACAUGUCAAACAAGUUGAGCCUUCAGUGAAUUUCAACAUAAUUUGUUUUGAAUUAUUUUUUAGAAAGAAUUGUUUUCAAAUAAUUCAUAAUACUUAUGUCUCAAUGCAUUUCAUGGUUUU
This 725-nucleotide long non-coding RNA is filed under the name Mytilus galloprovincialis (Mediterranean mussel). Lineage: Eukaryota; Metazoa; Mollusca; Bivalvia; Mytilida; Mytilidae. The record is from RNAcentral.